This 78-nucleotide transfer RNA is filed under the name Caudoviricetes sp. RNAcentral's name for it is "tRNA-Met". It matches the Rfam family "tRNA". Rfam says of the family: Transfer RNA (tRNA) molecules are approximately 80 nucleotides in length. Their secondary structure includes four short double-helical elements and three loops (D, anti-codon, and T loops). Lineage: Duplodnaviria; Heunggongvirae; Uroviricota; Caudoviricetes. The record is from RNAcentral.
GGGACAAUAGCUCAACUGGCAGAGCAAGCAGCUCAUAACUGCUCAAUUUUGUGGGUUCAAAUCCCUCUUGUCCCACCA